Molecule: ribosomal RNA, 425 nt
Filed under: uncultured bacterium
Lineage: Bacteria
Description: partial 16S ribosomal RNA
Rfam family: Bacterial small subunit ribosomal RNA
Source: RNAcentral
GUUAGGAAUAUUGGACAAUGGGCGAAAGCCUGAUCCAGCCAUGCCGCGUGAACGAUGAAGGCCUUCGGGUUGUAAAGUUCUUUAGCCGAUGAUUAUAAUGACUGUAGUCGGAAAAUAAGCCCCGGCUAACUUCGUGCCAGCAGCCGCGGUAAUACGAAGGGGGCGAGCGUUAUUCGGAAUCACUGGGCGUAAAGCGUGCGUAGGCGGCUUUGCAAGUUGGGAGUGAAAGCCCAGGGCUCAACCCUGGAAUUGCGCUCAAAACUGCAAGGCUCGAAUUCGGGAGAGGAUAGCGGAAUUGUCAGUGUAGCAGUGAAAUGCGUAGAUAUUGACAGGAACACCAGUGGCGUAAGCGGCUAUCUGGACCGAUAUUGACGCUGAGGCACGAAAGCGUGGGGAUCAAACAGGAUUAGAUACCCUGGUAGUCC